RNAcentral lists this unclassified non-coding RNA (253 nucleotides) under uncultured Cellvibrionales bacterium. Its description in RNAcentral is "contains 16S-23S intergenic spacer region". It matches the Rfam family "Bacterial small subunit ribosomal RNA", at positions 524 to 776 of the family's 1533-position model. The record is from RNAcentral. Lineage: Bacteria; Pseudomonadati; Pseudomonadota; Gammaproteobacteria; Cellvibrionales.
UACGGAGGGUGCGAGCGUUAAUCGGAAUUACUGGGCGUAAAGCGCGCGUAGGCGGCCAUUUAAGCUAGAUGUGAAAGCCCCGGGCUUAACCUGGGAACUGCAUUUAGAACUGGGUGGCUAGAGUACAGCAGAGGAUAGUGGAAUUUCCGGUGUAGCGGUGAAAUGCGUAGAGAUCGGAAGGAACAUCAGUGGCGAAGGCGACUGUCUGGGCUGAUACUGACGCUGAGGUGCGAAAGCGUGGGGAGCAAACAGG